AUGAUCGCCGCGCAUCUUCGUCGCUACUGUGAGCCUGAUCAGCGAUUCAAACAUUUCGGUGAACUCCUCAUCUACUUUGUCGCCUCCUGCAUGAUUUCAGCAUUCUCAAUCUUUGCUUGCCUUGUUGAGCUUCUCCUAAUCUUUCUUUCCCUCUUCCUCCUGAUCUAUUUCUCUCCCACUGCCCCUCUUCGUUCCCAAACCAGUGGCUAUAUGUGGGUGGAAAUCUGCACUCUUUGCUCUCUUAUGCCAUCUUUGCAUUGCUUAUUCAUGUUUGGACAACUACCUUCUAAUUUAUCAUAUUCAGAAAUUUGGAGAUCAUCUUUUUCAUGCUAUCCGUGA
Molecule: ribosomal RNA, 339 nt
Filed under: Triticum aestivum (bread wheat)
Lineage: Eukaryota; Viridiplantae; Streptophyta; Magnoliopsida; Poales; Poaceae
Description: partial small subunit ribosomal RNA
Source: RNAcentral